Molecule: ribosomal RNA, 531 nt
Filed under: unidentified oral bacterium AP60-32
Lineage: Bacteria
Description: bacterial SSU rRNA
Rfam family: Bacterial small subunit ribosomal RNA
Source: RNAcentral
AGAGUUUGAUCCUGGCUCAGGAUGAACGCUGGCGGCGUGCCUAAUACAUGCAAGUAGAACGCUGAAGCUUGGUGCUUGCACCGAGUGGAUGAGUUGCGAACGGGUGAGUAACGCGUAGGUGACCUGCCUGGUAGCGGGGGAUAACUAUUGGAAACGAUAGCUAAUACCGCAUAAUAUUGAUUAUUGCAUGAUAGUCAAUUAAAAGGUGCAACUGCACCACUACCAGAUGGACCUGCGUUGUAUUAGCUAGUUGGUGGGGUAACGGCUCACCAAGGCGACGAUACAUAGCCGACCUGAGAGGGUGAUCGGCCACACUGGGACUGAGACACGGCCCAGACUCCUACGGGAGGCAGCAGUAGGGAAUCUUCGGCAAUGGACGGAAGUCUGACCGAGCAACGCCGCGUGAGUGAAGAAGGUUUUCGGAUCGUAAAGCUCUGUUGUAAGAGAAGAACGAGUGUGAGAGUGGAAAGUUCACACUGUGACGGUAUCUUACCAGAAAGGGACGGCUAACUACGUGCCAGCAGCCGCGGU